Molecule: long non-coding RNA, 1158 nt
Organism: Triplophysa rosa
Lineage: Eukaryota; Metazoa; Chordata; Actinopteri; Cypriniformes; Nemacheilidae
Exons: 6
Source: RefSeq, a predicted model, not a curated record
AACGCUUCUUAAGAAAAAGCUAUCAAAAAGUUUGUGUUGCUCGAUUUCGUGAGUAGAUUUGUUUUUAAUUGUACCGUGCCAUAUUUGUGUUGUGUCAAUUAAAGCUUUAAAAGAAAAAGGUGACCGCAAGUGAUAUCUAGGCAAAAGCCCCCAACAACCCUGAUAUGCGACAAAAUGGCAACGUCAUCCUGCAGCGUCAUUUGUGUAAAUAACUGUACUUGCAGUCUUGUGAAUGGAAGAACUGAAUUAAUUAUUACGACUGAACAAGCAGUUGUUUGAACCUAAAUGUAACGCAGAUAAACCAAGGUGAGACCCCGUGGGGUGGGGGAAUGACCUUAGCCAAAUGAAAUAACUUGAUGGACUAGUUUGGGCAAGACAGCUGUCAGUCUAGCUUGCCUGCUUGACUGUUUCUGCAGUGUUGCUUCUCUGGCUCACUCAUUAUUUAGCAGGUCACUCUUGUUUUGAGUCUGCGUCUUCUCGCUCUGCUGGUCUCUCAGUUUUGCCACUUAGUUUCCGGUGGAUGUUCUUCUCAGUUGUGGCGUCAGUGGCUUUUGUCGCCCCCUUAUGGUCUUUCUCUGCUGUUGCAUGUUGAAGCCAGUGAUGCUGCAGAGUUUGACUAGCUGUCAAGCGCCUUUUUAGGUCCACCUCCAGCAGAGCUCUGACUAGAGCUUUGGCACCUGGGACACACAGAGAUGUCUUCAUUCAAGAUUAAAGCAUAUAAAUGACUGUCGUCAAAUGUCUCACCCUCAGACACAUUGUCCCAGUAAGGGGACAUAAAGUGGACAUCUCCCCUCUGGAUGAGACAAAAGAGCUCCUCUUGAUUACGAUCUGGACUGCGGAAUGGAGGAAAGCCACUCAGGAGCACAAACAGGAUAACACCCAUCGCCCAGACGUCUACUGCAACACCGCAAAUGAUAAGAACAAACAACUUUUCCUCUGAACAAACUUAACAAGAGUAACUCUGGACUGCAGAGGCAACUGUGAGUGAAGUCUUUUUUUUUUCACUGCACAUUAAAGGGUUAGUUCACCCAAAAAUGAAAAUUCUGUCAUCAUUUACUCACCCUAAAGUUGUUCCAAAACUGUAUAAAAUUCUUGGUUCUGUUGAACACAAAAGAAGAUAUUUUGAAGACUGUGGGAAACUAAACCGUUCAGCACUGU